This is a long non-coding RNA of Macaca fascicularis (crab-eating macaque), 1615 nucleotides long. NCBI's taxonomy places the organism in Eukaryota, Metazoa, Chordata, Mammalia, Primates, Cercopithecidae. The record is from Ensembl.
UUUUUUUUUUUUGAGACGGAGUUUCGGUCUUGUUGCCCAGGCUGGAGUGCACUGGCGUGAUCCCAGCUCACCGCAACCUCUGCCUCCCGGGUUCAAGCGAUUCUCCUGCCUCAGUCUCCUGAGUAGCUGGGAUUACAGGUUCCUGCCACCACGCCCGGCUAAUUUUGUAUCUUUAGUAGAGACGGGGUUUCUCCAUGUUAGUGAGGCUGGCCUCGAACUAGCAACUUCAGGUGAUCCGCCCACCUCCCAUCACAGGCCUGAGCCACCGCUCCCGGCCCGCCUGCACUUUCCCGGGCGGCCGCACAGGGCGGUGGGAGCAGCCUCGGCCUGCUCCGGCGCUGCGGCCACGUCUUGUGGGCUGGGGUCCCCUGGGGUCAGGUGAAGGUCGCUGGGGAUGGAGGCCCCCUGGCUGGGGUCUCCUGGCCGUCGUGGAGCUGUGCGACCCUCCAGGACCUGGGACAAGUCACCCAAUCUCUGAGCCUGGCUUCCUUCCAUCACAUGGGCAGAGGCCGCCUACCUAGCAGGCCUGGCUGGAGCCUGGGAGUCCCAGUGGGGGCUACCUCUGUUCCUUGGUCUACACUGAGACCUGGAUCUCCGUCCACAAGAGGGAUCUGGAAGGAAUGCUGGCUGGGCCCCCACUCACAGCUGCCGUCAGCGAGUCGUGGGAACCUCACCUUGCAAACGUGCUGGAAUCCACCCAUCUGUUCCUCCAAGGCCCCAACUCUGGUUCUGUUUCCCCUUGUGGCUUGCUUACCCCUCUGGGCACACUGACACCCCUUAGGCUCCCGGCCCUCAAGAGCCCUGCACCACCAGGACCCUCCCCCAGCCUCUGGGCCUCUGCACAGCUGCUCCUCACCUUGCCCAGGUUCUGCCCACGCCUUCCCCCCACCCUCCUCCGCUGCGGUUCCCAGGGUGCUCCCCUCCAAGCUCAACGAGGGCCUGCGGUGGCAGUCGUGAUGGCUGGCUCCCCUCCACCUGGGGGCCCGUCCCUGUGACCCUGGAACCCACGUACCGCAGGCACGCAGGAAUAAAAUGAUGGAGCAUUCCUGCUGACUUCAGGGUCUGUUUGUGCCUCAGUUUCCCUGGCCCUGAAAUAAAAAGAAGCAGUCCAUGGGGUUCCAAGCAUUGCCAAUCGGCUUACCUGUCAGAGGAGGGAAACUGAGGCCCAGAGGAGGGGCUGGGAUCAGAGGAGGGAAACUGAGGCCCAGGGGCGGGGCUGGGAUCAGGGGAGGGAAACUGAGAUCCAGGGGAGGGCCUGGGUGCAAAGGAGGGAAACUGAGGCCUAGGGGAGGGGCUGGGUGCAGAGGAAGCAAAAUAAGGAUCGGGGAGGGGCUGGGUGCUAAGGAGGGAAACUGAGGGUCAGAGGAGGGGCUGAGUGCAAAGGAGAGAAACUGAGGCCUAGAGGAGGGAAACUGAGGCCCAGGGUGGGGAAACAGGUCCCUGGGAGGUUAGCUCACGGCCCUGUCUCCUGGGUCCCAUCCCCCUCCUGCCCAGGCCGGUGCCGGGAAAGGCCUCACCGGAAGGCAGACUCCAAGGAGAGGCCCUCCCCAGGCCGGAGGUGCAGGCCCUUCCCGGGAAGCUGGGCCCUUAACCCGGGCGGGGGGCAGCAGGCCUG